RNAcentral lists this ribosomal RNA (253 nucleotides) under uncultured bacterium. RNAcentral's name for it is "partial 16S ribosomal RNA". It matches the Rfam family "Bacterial small subunit ribosomal RNA", at positions 524 to 776 of the family's 1533-position model. The record is from RNAcentral.
UACGGAGGAUCCAAGCGUUAUCCGGAUUUAUUGGGUUUAAAGGGUGCGUAGGCGGUUUUAUAAGUUAGAGGUGAAAGCCCGGAGCUCAACUCCGGAACUGCCUCUGAUACUGUAAGGCUAGAGUAUAGUUGCUGUGGGCGGAAUGUGUGGUGUAGCGGUGAAAUGCUUAGAGAUCACACAGAACACCGAUUGCGAAGGCAGCUCACAAAGCUAUUACUGACGCUGAGGCACGAAAGCGUGGGGAGCAAACAGG